Molecule: non-coding RNA, 28 nt
Filed under: Mus musculus (house mouse)
Lineage: Eukaryota; Metazoa; Chordata; Mammalia; Rodentia; Muridae
Source: RNAcentral
UGUAAUGCAAAGGUGACCAACGUCUAUU